GACGAACGCUGGCGGCGUGCUUAACACAUGCAAGUCGAACGGUGAAGCGCCUUCCUUUUUGGUGGGUGUGGAUGAGUGGCGAACGGGUGAGUAACACGUGAGUAACCUGCCCCCUUCUUCUGGAUAACCGCAUGAAAGUGUGGCUAAUACGGGAUAUUCUGGGUCUGUCGCAUGAUGGGUCUGGGAAAGAUAUUGUUUCGGUGGGGGAUGGGCUCGCGGCCUAUCAGCUUGUUGGUGGGGUGAUGGCCUACCAAGGCGGUGACGGGUAGCCGGCCUGAGAGGGUGGACGGUCACACUGGGACUGAGACACGGCCCAGACUCCUACGGGAGGCAGCAGUGGGGAAUAUUGCACAAUGGGCGCAAGCCUGAUGCAGCGACGCCGCGCGAGGGAUGGAGGCCUUCGGGUUGUGAACCUCUUUCGCCAGUGAAGCAGGCCUGCCUCGUUUGUGGGUGGGUUGACGGUAGCUGGAUAAGAAGCGCCGGCUAACUACGUG
This 494-nucleotide ribosomal RNA is filed under the name uncultured bacterium. RNAcentral describes it as "partial 16S ribosomal RNA". It matches the Rfam family "Bacterial small subunit ribosomal RNA", at positions 28 to 507 of the family's 1533-position model. The record is from RNAcentral.